This 784-nucleotide ribosomal RNA is filed under the name uncultured bacterium. RNAcentral's name for it is "bacterial SSU rRNA". It matches the Rfam family "Bacterial small subunit ribosomal RNA", at positions 9 to 789 of the family's 1533-position model. The record is from RNAcentral.
GAGUUUGAUCCUGGCUCAGGAUGAACGCUAGCGGGAGGCUUAAUACAUGCAAGUCGAACGGUAAGGCCCAGCUUGCUGGGCACACGAGUGGCGCACGGGUGAGUAACACGUACGCAACCUGCCUCUAACUGGGGUAUAGCCCCGGGAAACUGGGAUUAAUCCCCCAUAAUAUCCGGUUGUGGCAUCACAAUCGGAUCAAAGCUCUGGCGGUUAGAGAUGGGCGUGCGUCCCAUUAGCUAGUUGGUGAGGUAACGGCUCACCAAGGCUACGAUGGGUAGGGGGCGUGAGAGCGUGACCCCCCACACGGGCACUGAGACACGGGCCCGACUCCUACGGGAGGCAGCAGUAGGGAAUAUUGGGCAAUGGGCGAAAGCCUGACCCAGCCAUCCCGCGUGCAGGAUGACAGCCCUAUGGGUUGUAAACUGCUUUUCUCAGGGAAGAAACCCCCGGAUUCAUCCGGGGCUGACGGUACCUGAGGAAUAAGCACCGGCUAACUCCGUGCCAGCAGCCGCGGUAAUACGGAGGGUGCAAGCGUUAUCCGGAUUCACUGGGUUUAAAGGGUGCGCAGGCGGAUUGGUAAGUCAGUGGUGAAAGCUUCCGGCUUAACCGGAAAAUUGCCAUUGAUACUGCCAGUCUUGAGUACAGUUUGAGGUGGGCGGAAUGUAGCAUGUAGCGGUGAAAUGCUUAGAUAUGCUACAGAACACCGAUUGCGAAGGCAGCUCACUAAACUGUUACUGACGCUCAGGCACGAAAGCGUGGGGAGCAAACAGGAUUAGAUACCCUG